RNAcentral lists this transfer RNA (73 nucleotides) under Kapaibacterium sp. (SeqCode). RNAcentral describes it as "tRNA-Gly". It matches the Rfam family "tRNA". Rfam says of the family: Transfer RNA (tRNA) molecules are approximately 80 nucleotides in length. Lineage: Bacteria; Pseudomonadati; Bacteroidota; Eximiradiia; Eximiradiales; Kapaibacteriaceae (SeqCode). The record is from RNAcentral.
GCGAAAGUAGCUCAGUCGGUAGAGCGUCAGCUUCCCAAGCUGAAUGUCGCGGGUUCGAAUCCCGUCUUUCGCU